CUGUACGAGUUUGAUCCUGGCUCAGAUUGAACGCUGGCGGAAUGCUUUACACAUGCAAGUCGAACGGCAGCACGGGGCAACCUGGUGGCGAGUGGCGAACGGGUGAGUAAUACAUCGGAAUGUGCCCAAUCGUGGGGAUAACGUAGCGAAAGUUACGCUAAUACCGCAUACGAUCUACGGAUGAAAGCGGGGGAUCGCAAGACCUCGCGCGAAUGGAGCGGCCGAUGUCAGAUUAGGUAGUUGGUGGGUAAAGGCUCACCAAGCCAACGAUCUGUAGCUGGUCUGAGAGGACGACCAGCCACACUGGAACUGAGACACGGUCCAGACUCCUACGGGAGGCAGCAGUGGGGAAUUUUGGACAAUGGGCGCAAGCCUGAUCCAGCCAUUCCGCGUGCAGGAUGAAGGCCUUCGGGUUGUAAACUGCUUUUGUACGGAACGAAAAGGUCCUGGUUAAUACCUGGGGCUCAUGACGGUACCGUAAGAAUAAGCACCGGCUAACUACGUG
This 505-nucleotide ribosomal RNA is filed under the name uncultured bacterium. Its description in RNAcentral is "bacterial SSU rRNA". It matches the Rfam family "Bacterial small subunit ribosomal RNA", at positions 1 to 507 of the family's 1533-position model. The record is from RNAcentral.